ACGCUAGCUACAGGCUUAACACAUGCAAGUCGAGGGGCAUCAGGAAGAAAGCUUGCUUUCUUUGCUGGCGACCGGCGCACGGGUGAGUAACACGUAUCCAACCUGCCCUUUACUCGGGGAUAGCCUUUCGAAAGAAAGAUUAAUACCCGAUGGCAUAAUGAUUCCGCAUGGUUUCAUUAUUAAAGGAUUCCGGUAAAGGAUGGGGAUGCGUUCCAUUAGGUUGUUGGUGAGGUAACGGCUCACCAAGCCUUCGAUGGAUAGGGGUUCUGAGAGGAAGGUCCCCCACAUUGGAACUGAGACACGGUCCAAACUCCUACGGGAGGCAGCAGUGAGGAAUAUUGGUCAAUGGGCGCUAGCCUGAACCAGCCAAGUAGCGUGAAGGAUGAAGGCUCUAUGGGUCGUAAACUUCUUUUAUAUAAGAAUAAAGUGCAGUAUGUAUACUGUUUUGUAUGUAUUAUAUGAAUAAGGAUCGGCUAACUCCGUGCCAGCAGCCGCGGUAAUACGGAGGAUCCGAGCGUUAUCCGGAUUUAUUGGGUUUAAAGGGAGCGUAGGUGGACUGGUAAGUCAGUUGUGAAAGUUUGCGGCUCAACCGUAAAAUUGCAGUUGAUACUGUCAGUCUUGAGUACAGUAGAGGUGGGCGGAAUUCGUGGUGUAGCGGUGAAAUGCUUAGAUAUCACGAAGAACUCCGAUUGCGAAGGCAGCUCACUGGACUGCAACUGACACUGAUGCUCGAAAGUGUGGGUAUCAAACAGGAUUAGAUACCCUGGUAGUCCACACAGUAAACGAUGAAUACUCGCUGUUUGCGAUAUACAGUAAGCGGCCAAGCGAAAGCAUUAAGUAUUCCACCUGGGGAGUACGCCGGCAACGGUGAAACUCAAAGGAAUUGACGGGGGCCCGCACAAGCGGAGGAACAUGUGGUUUAAUUCGAUGAUACGCGAGGAACCUUACCCGGGCUUAAAUUGCAGUGGAAUGAUGUGGAAACAUGUCAGUGAGCAAUCACCGCUGUGAAGGUGCUGCAUGGUUGUCGUCAGCUCGUGCCGUGAGGUGUCGGCUUAAGUGCCAUAACGAGCGCAACCCUUAUCUUUAGUUACUAACAGGUUAUGCUGAGGACUCUAGAGAGACUGCCGUCGUAAGAUGUGAGGAAGGUGGGGAUGACGUCAAAUCAGCACGGCCCUUACGUCCGGGGCUACACACGUGUUACAAUGGGGGGUACAGAAGGCAGCUAGCGGGUGACCGUAUGCUAAUCCCAAAAGCCUCUCUCAGUUCGGAUCGAAGUCUGCAACCCGACUUCGUGAAGCUGGAUUCGCUAGUAAUCGCGCAUCAGCCACGGCGCGGUGAAUACGUUCCCGGGCCUUGUACACACCGCCCGUCAAGCCAUGGGAGCCGGGGGUACCUGAAGUACGUAACCGCAAGGAUCGUCCUAGGGUAAAACUGGUGACUGGGGC
Molecule: ribosomal RNA, 1445 nt
Filed under: uncultured organism
Description: SSU rRNA
Rfam family: Bacterial small subunit ribosomal RNA
Source: RNAcentral